GCUCCAGUGGCGCAAUCAGUCAGCGUGUGGUACUUAUAAUGCCGAGGUUGUGAGUUCAAGUCUCACCUGGAGCA
Molecule: non-coding RNA, 74 nt
Organism: Boleophthalmus pectinirostris (great blue-spotted mudskipper)
Lineage: Eukaryota; Metazoa; Chordata; Actinopteri; Gobiiformes; Gobiidae
Source: the annotation of a RefSeq genome assembly